This 422-nucleotide ribosomal RNA is filed under the name uncultured bacterium. RNAcentral describes it as "bacterial SSU rRNA". It matches the Rfam family "Bacterial small subunit ribosomal RNA", at positions 358 to 772 of the family's 1533-position model. The record is from RNAcentral.
GGAAUUUUGGACAAUGGGGGCAACCCUGAUCCAGCCAUGCCGCGUGUGUGAAGAAGGCCUUCGGGUUGUAAAGCACUUUCGGCCGGAACGAAAUCGCGUGGGUUAACAGCCCGCGUGGACGACGGUACCGGCAGAAGACGCACCGGCUAACGACGUUCCAGCAGCCGCGGUAAUACGUAGGGUGCAAGCGUUAAUCGGAAUUACUGGGCGUAAAGUGGGCGCAGGUGGCUUCGCAAGUCGAGUGUGAAAUCCCCGGGCUUAACUUGGGAAUUGCGCUCGAAACUACGGGGCUCGAGUGUGGCAGAGGGAGGUGGAAUUCCACGUGUAGCGGUGAAAUGCGUAGAGAUGUGGAGGAACACCAAUGGCGAAGGCAGCCUCCUGGGCCAACACUGACGCUCAUGCACGAAAGCGUGGGGAGCAAA